RNAcentral lists this ribosomal RNA (253 nucleotides) under uncultured bacterium. RNAcentral's name for it is "partial 16S ribosomal RNA". It matches the Rfam family "Bacterial small subunit ribosomal RNA", at positions 524 to 776 of the family's 1533-position model. The record is from RNAcentral.
UACAGAGGGUGCGAGCGUUAAUCGGAAUUACUGGGCGUAAAGCGCGCGUAGGCGGCUUUGCAAGUCGGGUGUGAAAUCCCCAGGCUUAACCUGGGAACUGCAUUCGAGACUGCAUUGCUAGAGUAUGGGAGAGGGAAGUGGAAUUUCCGGUGUAGCGGUGAAAUGCGUAGAGAUGUGGAGGAAUACCGAUGGCGAAGGCAGCCCCCUGGGCCAAUACUGACGCUCAUGCACGAAAGCGUGGGGAGCAAACAGG